This 99-nucleotide signal recognition particle RNA is filed under the name Enterobacter hormaechei. RNAcentral's name for it is "signal recognition particle sRNA small type". It matches the Rfam family "Bacterial small signal recognition particle RNA". From Rfam's summary of the family: The signal recognition particle (SRP) is a universally conserved ribonucleoprotein involved in the co-translational targeting of proteins to membranes. The record is from RNAcentral. Lineage: Bacteria; Pseudomonadati; Pseudomonadota; Gammaproteobacteria; Enterobacterales; Enterobacteriaceae.
UGCCAGCGGCUUGCAAUUACGCUACUCUGUUCACCAGGUCAGGUCCGGAAGGAAGCAGCCAGGGCAGACGACGUGGGUGCCGGGAUGUAGCUGGCAGGG